Long non-coding RNA from Fundulus heteroclitus (mummichog), 1286 nucleotides. RefSeq lists it as uncharacterized. The transcript is spliced from 2 exons. The record is from RefSeq and is a predicted model, not a curated record. NCBI's taxonomy places the organism in Eukaryota, Metazoa, Chordata, Actinopteri, Cyprinodontiformes, Fundulidae.
GAGCAGAGGAGAAAGAACACAGCCCUGGGGGGAACCAGUGCUGAUGAGCUAGUUCCCCUCGUUCUGCCGGUCUGAGAUUCCUACUCCUGUGUCUCAAGAACUCUCUCUGCUACUCUGAAGGCUUCCUGUCUCAGCAGCACAGCACCCCUAUCUGGGUCUCCAGCUCCUGCUCCCACCUCUCAUCAACUACACCCCGGUAUAGACUCUGGUUCUCUUCCUUCACAACAACCAAACCUUCAAUAAACUCUCCUAAACAAAACUCCGUGUGUGUUCGGGUUAAUCAGGACAAAUCCUGACAUGUGUAAGGAGUGAAUUUGGACAAAUGUGGGGAUGUAUUGAUCCUUGGAAUAUUUAUUUUGUAUCUUUGUAGCUAUUUUGUCCAAAAUCCUUGUCUAUUUGAUGCAGAAACUAAACAACAAAUUCUAAAAAUGAUUAAUGGAAAGAAUGGCUAGAACACAAAGGGGUCAGCAACAGAAUCAGUCAACCAAAAGUCGAAGCUAAUGUAAUAGAUUUAUGCUCUAAUGAAGCCCAAAAGAAGCCUGGAAGGGAAAAUAUUUAAUAAUUUUUUUAGCAAUUGUUUUUCAUUUGUGGUUUUUAAUGUCCAUUUCAUGUCUUUUUCUACUGAUCAUAAAUAACCCAAAUUGUGGGAUGGAAUGUUGAAAACGUUUUAUGCCAUUUUCUUUUGUCGUAAAAUAUGUUGAACAAAGGAGGAAAACUUAGUUUAACUGAUAAGAAUGGAGAUAUUCACUAUAAUUACUAAAGCUUCAACCACCCUAUUUAAAGGGUCCUACAAUGUUCCUUCCUAGUCAAUCCUAAAGACCCUGCUAGGAAACUCUAAAAUUGUAAUGAGGCAGCCAAUCAGGGAUUAAUAAUCUGGUCUGGGACCAACUGUUCAUCCUUUAAAAUAAACCAGUUAAUAUUUUCUAUGAUUUUUACGUUAUGGUAAUCUUCAAAAGAUGGCAGUCAUAGCUAUUCAAAGGUGACCAUUGACACACGUGUACAAAACCUGUGCUUACAGUAAAACAAAACUAUGUGGCUGUGGCGCCAGGGUAGGGUGGGCGACCCAAGUUUGCAGUCCUCAAUGCAGAGGUGUCAAGUAACUAAGUACAAAUACUUUGUUACCUUAAGUAGACAUUUUUUGUUAUUUAUAUUUUAGUGGAGUUAUUACUAUUUAGCCUUUUUACUUCUUACAUUUUCUUGCAAUUAUCUUAAAAAUAGUCUCAUUACUUCUAUUUUAUUGCAGCUUGUUUUCGUUCUGGCUUGUCAAUAAAAAAAACUAAAAAAUA